UGUCAGGUGGGCAGUUUGACUGGGGCGGUCGCCUCCUAAAGAGUAACGGAGGCGCCCAAAGGUUCCCUCAGAAUGGUUGGAAAUCAUUCGUAGAGUGUAAAGGCACAAGGGAGCUUGACUGCGAGACCUACAAGUCGAGCAGGGACGAAAGUCGGGCUUAGUGAUCCGGUGGUUCCGCAUGGAAGGGCCAUCGCUCAACGGAUAAAAGCUACCCCGGGGAUAACAGGCUUAUCUCCCCCAAGAGUCCACAUCGACGGGGAGGUUUGGCACCUCGAUGUCGGCUCAUCGCAUCCUGGGGCUGUAGUCGGUCCCAAGGGUUGGGCUGUUCGCCCAUUAAAGCGGUACGCGAGCUGGGUUCAGAACGUCGUGAGACAGUUCGGUCCCUAUCCGUCGCGGGCGCAGGAAAUUUGAGAGGAGCUGUCCUUAGUACGAGAGGACCGGGAUGGACGCACCGCUGGUGUACCAGUUGUCUUGCCAAAGGCAUAGCUGGGUAGCUACGUGCGGACGGGAUAAGUGCUGAAAGCAUCUAAGCAUGAAGCCCCCCUCAAGAUGAGAUUUCCCAUGGCGCAAGCUAGUAAGAUCCCUGAAAGAUGAUCAGGUUGAUAGGUCAGAGGUGGAAGCGUGGCGACAUGUGGAGCUGACUGAUACUAAUAGAUCGAGGACUUAACCAAC
Molecule: ribosomal RNA, 672 nt
Filed under: Bacillus sp. mrc49
Lineage: Bacteria; Bacillati; Bacillota; Bacilli; Caryophanales; Bacillaceae
Description: bacterial LSU rRNA
Rfam family: Bacterial large subunit ribosomal RNA
Source: RNAcentral